Molecule: long non-coding RNA, 543 nt
Filed under: Mytilus galloprovincialis (Mediterranean mussel)
Lineage: Eukaryota; Metazoa; Mollusca; Bivalvia; Mytilida; Mytilidae
Source: RNAcentral
GUCUACCGCUUGGCAUUAAAUCUCGGUGUGGUAGGAAACGAUUAUUACAUAUAGAUUAUAUUAUUUGGAUGAGGAUUUGAGCUAGCCUAUAAAAACACAUUAAUUAGUUAACAUACAUUCGAGACCAAAGGAUAUUAACUUUGAUAAUUCAAUUAACUUUUACUCACAUAUUUUUCUCUUAUGAUUUGUGCGUGCUUGUUUCUAUAGGACAGUGUAUAUAUGGUCCAAAAAUUAAUCAUAAAAUCAUAACUAAAAAUGUCUUGUUCGGAGAAUGAUAGUACUAACAGUGGUUCCAGUCCGUCAAGAGAGGCAGAUUUUGACGAGUAUGGUCAAUUUGGGUACGCACUAGAGCCAGAGUAUACCGAAGAAGAGCUCCAUGAAAUGGAAGCUGCAGAAAGUUCCCGAAAUCAAGAUAUCCUUAGCAACCCUCGCCAGUUUAACACAGAUUGGUGUUCGUGUACUAAAUGCAUAGUUAUGCCGUUAUUGACGGAAUGUCUUUGUUGCCACGAAUUUACUCUCUUUGAUGGUAAUAUUGAAUUGGGU